ACCACGUGUCAUGAUCUCGUGAG
Molecule: non-coding RNA, 23 nt
Filed under: Arabidopsis thaliana (thale cress)
Lineage: Eukaryota; Viridiplantae; Streptophyta; Magnoliopsida; Brassicales; Brassicaceae
Source: RNAcentral